This is a long non-coding RNA of Syngnathoides biaculeatus (alligator pipefish), 287 nucleotides long. RefSeq lists it as uncharacterized. The transcript is spliced from 3 exons. The record is from RefSeq and is a predicted model, not a curated record. NCBI's taxonomy places the organism in Eukaryota, Metazoa, Chordata, Actinopteri, Syngnathiformes, Syngnathidae.
CUUCAAUAACCUAGAGCCACUUCAUGGACGCCAGUCAGUCUCCCCAGUAGGUUCAAACGCUGACACGUUAUGACAACUGAGGAACAGUGAAGACAGCUGGAGAUGCAACAAAUUUAUGGACUGUGGAAGUAUGAUGGAAGGAUGAGGAGACAGACUAGAGAAAGACAACCAUCCAUCCAUCCAUUAUCUGAACCACUUAUCCUCACAAGGGUUGCAGGAGUGCUGAAGCCUAUCCCAGGUAUGUUCGGUCAGGAGGCGGGGUACAUUCUGGACUGAUUGCCAGGCAA